RNAcentral lists this ribosomal RNA (351 nucleotides) under uncultured bacterium. Its description in RNAcentral is "bacterial SSU rRNA". It matches the Rfam family "Bacterial small subunit ribosomal RNA", at positions 527 to 881 of the family's 1533-position model. The record is from RNAcentral.
GUAGGGUGCAAGCGUUAAUCGGAAUNACUGGGCGUAAAGCGUGCGCAGGCGGCUUUGCAAGACAGAUGUGAAAUCCCCGGGCUCAACCUGGGAACUGCAUNUGUGACUGCAAGGCUGGAGUACGGCAGAGGGGGAUGGAAUUCCGCGUGUAGCAGUGAAAUGCGUAGAUAUGCGGAGGAACACCGAUGGCGAAGGCAAUCCCCUGGGCCUGUACUGACGCUCAUGCACGAAAGCGUGGGGAGCAAACAGGAUUAGAUACCCUAGUAGUCCACGCCGUAAACGAUGAGAACUCGGUGUUGGGGGAAUAACUCAGUGCCGCAGUUAACGCAAUAAGUUCUCCGCCUGGGGAGU